UUUUCUUGUCAUUUUUUUCUGGAAUUCUGCUCCUCAUUUUGUACCACUCUUCUCUCCUGCUGUUUAUCCCCUUCUCCCCUCUAUUCCUUCUUUUCUGCCUCUUCUGCUCCAUCCUGGCCACUUAUUUAAGCUCUUGUUGCUCCUUCUCCCCAAUCUUUCUAUUGUCCUCAAUCUCCGCAUCUUUUUACCUCUUCUCCCCUCUCUGCGCCUCCUCUGCUCUCCCUGUUAAAUUCUCUCUUCCCUGUUAUACUCUUGUCCCCACUCUCUGGCUCCCCACAUCCCCAGGUGUCCUCCCUGCUGCGGCUCCCUCUGUUCUCCUUGCCACCAGCACCACUCCGCUCUGUCUGCCCCGGCUCCAAGUCCCUCCUCGUCUCCCUCACUCAUGAGCCUCCCUCUUUGCUGCCCCAUCCCUGCCUUGCUGUCCUUCAUCUCUCUGUACAUCACGCUUUUCUCUACAUUUCUCCAGUUGGUUUUCCCCUCCUGCUUUUUUUUUUCCCACUUUUGCUGUCUCAUGGCAAAUCCCUCACCCAUCCUCUACUUUGCCAUCUGUUACGUGUCUUUCUCAUUUUUCUUUUCUCUGUCUCAGGUUUUCUACUGCUCUCUAACUGUCUCCUGAUCCCUUUGGCCACACAAUCACAGGAGGGUUUGGAGAUAGUCGCCUACAUGCCGGAGAAGCACGUUCUCCAAGGGCUGGAGCUGGGCAGGCACGAACGCCUCCUGUCACAGGACAAGCCCUGGACACCUCCCCAACGCGGGCUCAGGGAAGCGGUGACUGCGGAGGGGAGACCUGGGGUGCAGCAGGGAUCGGUACGAGGAAGGAGCUGGGGGGCGACGGCGCCUUAAGACAAGGGUGGGGUCUGCAGGAUCCCAGGACGAGGCAGAGGAUGCGGCCUCCCCGGGAUUGGGACCGUGGCGCUGGGCUUCGAGGGGCGACGAAGUCGAGGGUGGGAGGUGCCCAAGGAGGAAAUCCACCUCUCGCGUGAGGCCUUCAAAAACCGCGGGGAGGGAGAAGUCAGAAAAAGGUUUUGAGCGGAAAAAUUAUGCAAUAAAAAGGGCACACAUUGCCCUAUGGUAGAAAGACCGGAGAGGGGACCAGCGGCAGGGCAACUUUAAAUCCAAAAGAGACACGGGAUUUCACCCUGUUAGCCAGAAUGGUCUCGAUCUCCUGACCUCAUGAUUUGCCUGCCUCAGCCUCCCAAAGUGCUAGGAUUACAAGCAUGAGCCACCAUGGCCAGGCUGGUCUGGAACUCCUUACCUCAAGCAAACCAUCCGCCUCAGACUCCCAAAGUGCUGAAAUUGCAGGCGUGAGCCACACCAGGCUUUUUUUUUUUUUAAAUAAACAGGGUGACCCCUGUGACCCAGGCAAAAAUACAGUGGAACAAUCACGGCUCAUUGCAACCUUCACCUCCCAGGCUCAAGUGAUUUUUUUUUUUUUUUGCCUCAGUCUCUUGAGUAGUUAAGAUUAGAGGUGCUUGCCAUGACACCCAGCUAAUUUUUGUUUUUAGUAGAGAUGGAGUUUCACCAUAUUGGACAGGCUCAUCUAGAACUCAAGUAAUCCACCCACCUUGGCUUUCCAAAAUCUUGGAAUUACAGGUAUUAGCCCCGCACCAGCCUAGUUUUUGUUUACAGGAAUAAGAAACAAGCCAAGUUGGGGGGCUUGCUCUGGUGAUUCCAGCACUUUAAGAAGCCAAGGCGGGAGGAUCAUGAGGUCAAGUAUUGAGACAAUCCUGGCCAACACAGUGAAACCAUGUCUCUACUAAAAGAACAAAAACUAACUGGGCGUUGUGGUACGCACCUGUAGUCUCAGCUACUCACAAGGCUGAUGUACAAGAAUCACUUGAAGCCAGGAGGCAGAGGUUGCAGUUAGCUGAGACCAUACCACUGCACUCCAGUCUGUCAGCAGAGUGAGACACCAUCUCAAGAAAAAAAUAUAUAUAUAAAAAUACAAAAAUUAGCAUGGCGUAGUGGCAUGCAUCUGUAAUUCCAGCUAUUCAAGAGGCUGAGGCACAAGAAUUGCUUAACUGCAAGGUAACAGACUGCAGAGACAAGACCACACCAUUGCACUUCAGCCUGGGUGACAAGAGAAAGAUUUCAUCACAACAAAAGGAAAAAAAAAAAAAAAAAAAAGGCUGCAUUAACUGCUGACCUCAAGUGAUCUGCCUUGGCUUCUCAAAGUGCUGGGAUUUCAGGUGUGAGUCACUGCUGGGCCCAGCCCAUUCUUUAACAUAAACACUUUUUAUGUCAAUUAAUGCUGGAACUCAAUUUUAAGUCAAAUCAAACUCAAGUCAAUAGUGAAUUGACUCCAAUGUCAAUUAAUGCUUAAUGGUUUGCUAUACUUAUUGCAUUUGGAGCAGUUAUAUCAAAAAAUGAAUAUUCUGAUGUUCUGCAAGGAGUGACUUUGGACUGAAGACCUUGCCACACUAUGACAUUUGUAAGAUUUCUGCCCAGUGUGGAUUUUCUGAUGUCUAAUGUGGUGUGAACAUGAAGUACAGGCUUUGCCACAAUCAUCACACUAGUGAGGUUUCCCUCCUGUAUGAAUUCUCCUGUGUUUCGCAUAAGAUGAAGCUUGAACUGAAGAUCUUGCCACAAUCAUGACAUUGGUAAGGUUUCUUUCCAGUAUGAGUUUCCUGAUGAACUGCCAGGUAUAAACAAUGAUGGUAAAACUUGUCACAUUUA
This is a non-coding RNA of Callithrix jacchus (white-tufted-ear marmoset), 2676 nucleotides long. The record is from RefSeq and is a predicted model, not a curated record. NCBI's taxonomy places the organism in Eukaryota, Metazoa, Chordata, Mammalia, Primates, Cebidae.